This 301-nucleotide ribosomal RNA is filed under the name uncultured bacterium. Its description in RNAcentral is "bacterial SSU rRNA". It matches the Rfam family "Bacterial small subunit ribosomal RNA", at positions 497 to 795 of the family's 1533-position model. The record is from RNAcentral.
GCACCUACGGGAGGCAGCAGCCGCGGUAAUACGUAGGGGGCAAGCGUUAUCCGGAUUUACUGGGUGUAAAGGGAGCGUAGACGGCUGUGCAAGCCAGAUGUGAAAGCCCGGGGCUCAACCCCGGGACUGCAUUUGGAACUGUGUGGCUGGAGUGUCGGAGAGGCAGGCGGAAUUCCUAGUGUAGCGGUGAAAUACGUAGAUAUUAGGAGGAACACCAGUGGCGAAGGCGGCCUGCUGGACGAUGACUGACGUUGAGGCUCGAAAGCGGGGGGGGCAAAACGGAUUAGAUACCCCUGUAGUC